CUCGCCUUCCUCCUACAGCUUCCCCGCUGCCAGUGGAGAAAGAUGUCGGCGGCGGCAGGGAGCAUGGGAUCGAUGGAGGCAGCUGACACUAGGAGUUUUCUUAGGUGGUCCAUGGCAAGGAAGAGUGUGUCGCCCACAAAAAUUGAGAGAGCAGCAUCAAAAAAUAUUGGAAAAGUCGUCCAUGUGUUCAUUGACUUCUGAGAUGAUACUCGAGGGAAUUAUGCGAGCUGGCCAUCUGAUUUGUCUUCUUCCUUGCCCAGCAGCAUGCUCAGCUUCAGCUUCCAGCUUAUUGUUCUUUUGUUGGAAGCUACAUCACAAAGCUGAGGCACUACAAAAAUUCAAUAGUAUGAAAAAAAUUCAGCGUGAAGGUACAUGAGGAGAUUCCAGUUUCGACACCAGGAAAGAGAACUCCUGGAGAUGACAGAAUAAGAAGCCUUUCGGACCCUGCAAUUCAGUGCUCUUCUUCCAGGUUUGUGCGUGUUGUUAUUUUUCUUCGAUGAAUUAUCAUUGAUCAAUAUGGACUAUGAAACUUUGUAAUGACUUUGUGAUUUGAGGCAUGAAACAAAUAGUAUAGGGCUACAAAGUGAUUCCACUGUGAUCAAAUUUCGAUAACGAUGCAUCUUUACUUGCUUUCUAUCUUGGACAUUGUUUAAUCGUGUUACUAUAUAUAUAAAGCACUAUCAUGUAUAACUUAAAGGUUCAGUUUUUAGAAUAACAU
Long non-coding RNA from Lolium rigidum, 718 nucleotides. RefSeq lists it as uncharacterized. The transcript has 3 exons. The record is from RefSeq and is a predicted model, not a curated record. Lineage: Eukaryota; Viridiplantae; Streptophyta; Magnoliopsida; Poales; Poaceae.